RNAcentral lists this ribosomal RNA (3457 nucleotides) under Malus domestica (apple). RNAcentral's name for it is "rRNA MD16G0183200". The stretch from base 2 to 2855 matches the Rfam family "Bacterial large subunit ribosomal RNA". The record is from RNAcentral. Lineage: Eukaryota; Viridiplantae; Streptophyta; Magnoliopsida; Rosales; Rosaceae.
GGUUUAAACAAGGAAAGGUUUAUGGUGGAUACCUAGGCACCCAGAGAUGAGGAAAUACGUAUUAAGCGACGAAAUGCUUUAAGAAGUUGAAAAUAAGUGUAGAUCCGGAGAUUCUUGAACAGGUUAACCUUUCGAACUACUACUUAAUCCAUAGGCAGGCAAAAGACACUUGGCAAACUGAAACAUCUUAGUAGCUAGAUGAAAGGAAAGUAAAAGUGAUUCCCAUAGUAGCGGCGAGCAAAAUGGAAGCAUCUUAAACCAUGAAAACGAGGUUGUGGGAGUGAAAUACAAGCGUUGUGCUGCUAGGCGAAGCAAUGGAGUACUGCACCCUAGAUGGCGACAGUCCAAUAGCCAAAAACAUCACUAACUUGCGCUCUAACCUGAGUAGCAUAAGACAUGUGGAAUCACCAGCAGGGACCACCUUGUAAAGCUAAAUACUCCUAGGUGACCGAUAGUGAAGUAGUACUGUGAGGGAAGGGUGAAAAGAACCUUCAUCUGGGAGUGAAAUAGAACAUGAAACCGUAAGCUGUCAAGUAAUGGGAGGAGCCUAGGGCUCUGGCCACAUGCCUGUUGAAGAAUGAGCAGGCGACUCAUAGGUAGUGGCUUGGUUAAGGGAACCCACCAAAGUCGUAGCAAAAAUGAGUCUUCAUAUGGUAAUUGUCACUGCUUGUGGACCAGAACUUGGGUGAUCGAUCCAUGACCAGGAUAAAGCUUGGGUGAAACUAAAUGGAGGUCUGAACCGACUGAUGUUAAAGAAUCAGCGGAUAAGUUGUGGUUAGGGAUGAAAUGCCACUCGAACCCAAAGCUAGCUAGUUCUCCCCGAAAUGCUUUGAGGCGUAACAGCUGAUUGGACAUCUAGGGGUAAAACACUAUUUCAAUACAGGCCGCGAGAGCAAUACCAAAUCGAGGCAAACUCUGAAUACAAGACAUGAGCUCAAAAUAACAAGGGUCAAGGUCAACCAGUGAGACAAUAGAGGAUAAGUUUCAUUGUCGAGAGGAAAACAGCCCAGAUCACCAACUAAGGCUCCUAAAUGACCGCUCAGUGAUAAAGGAGGUAGAGACAACCAUAAGGUUUACCUAGAAGUAGCCACCCUUGAAAUAGUGUGUAAUAGCUCACUGAGUGAGCGCUAAAGAUGAACAUGGCUAAGCAAUAUGCUGAAGCUGUGAGAUGUAAAAAUGCAUUGGUAGGGGAACGUUCCACCUAGAAUGAAGCACCCACGUGAGCGGUGGUGGAAAAAGUGGAAGCGAGAAUGUCGGCUUGAGUAACACAAACAUUAAUGAGAAUCCAAUGCCUCGAAAACCUAAGGGUUCCUUCACAAGGUUCAUCCAUGGAGGAUGAGUCAGAGCCUAAGAUCAGGCCGAAAGGCAUACUUGAUAGACAACAGGUGAAUAUUCCUGUACUACCCCUUGUUGGUCCUGAGGGAUGGAGGAGGCUAGGUUAGCUAAAAGAUGGUUAUUGGUUUAAGGACACGGAGUGCCCCUGAUUUUUCAGGGUAAGAAGGGGUAGAGAAAAUGCCUCAAGUGUUUGAGUACCAGGCGCCACGACGCUGAAGUAACCUAUGCCAUACUCAUAGGAAAAGCUCGAUUGACCUUCAACAAAAGGGUACAUGCACCUGAAACCGACACAAGUAGGUAGGUAGAGAAUACGUAGAAGCGCAAGACAACUUUCUCUAAGGAACUCAGCAAAAUAACCCCUCAACUUUGGGAGAAGAGGUUCCUCCUUCACAAAAAAGGUCGCAGUGACCUAGCCCGGGCGAUUGUUUACCAAAAACACAAGUCUUCGCGAAGUCGUAAGACCAUGUAUGUGGGCUGACACCUGCUUAGUGCCGAAAGGUCAAGGAAGUUGAUGACCUGAUGAUAGAGGAGUCAACGAUUGAAACCCCGAUGAAUGGCAGCCAUAACUAUAAUGGUCCUAAGGUAGCGAAAUUCCUUGUUGGGUAAGUUUCUACUCGCACGAAAUGAGUAAUGAUCUGGGUAUUGUCUUGGAAAGAGGCUCGAAGCAAAAGAGUUGUUUGUGAAUAUGCGAACUACCUGCACCUGGACAAAAAGACCCUAUGAAGCUUCACUGUUCCUUGGGAUUGACUUUGGCCUUUCCUGAGCAGCUUAGGUGAAAGAUGAAGAAGACCCCAUUUUGAAAGGGCUCGAGCCAUUAGUUAGAUACCAAUGUGGAAGAGUUAGAAUUCUAACCUUGUGUUUGGACCUACGGGCCAAGGGACAGUCUCAGGUAGACAGUUUUUAUUGGGCAUAAGCCUCCUAAAAGGUAACGGAGGCGUGCAAAGGUUUCCUCGAGCUAGACCGAGGUUGGUUAUCGAGUGCAAAAGUAGAAAAGAGCUUGACUGCAAGACCUACCCGUUAAGCAGGGAUAAAAGUUGGCCUUAGUGAUUUGAUGGUGCCAAGUGGAAGGGUCGUCGUUCAAAGGAUAAAAGUUACUUUAGGGAUAACAGGCUGAUCUUCCCCAAGAGUUCACAUCGAUGAGAAGGUUUUACACCUCGAUUUUGGUUCUUCCCCACCCAGGGUUGUAGUAUGUUCCAAGGGUUGUGCUAUUUGCGCAUUAAAGCAGUACGUGAGCUAGUUUCAAAAUGUCGUGAGACAAUUCGGUCCAUAUCUGGUAUGGGCGUUAGAGCAUUGCAAGGACCUUUCCCUAGUACGAGAGGACUGGGAAGGACUCACCUCUAGUGUACAAGUUAUGGUGCCCAUGAUAAACACUAGGUAAAAGCAUCUAAGUAGUAGGCCCACCCUAAGAUGAAAGCUAAAAGCAUCUAAGUAGUAGGCCCACCCCAAGAUGAAUGCUCUUUUAUUCCGACUUCCUCAAAGCCUCAUGUAUCAAAACUAAGACAACUAUAUGUUUUUUACCCCUGUGGGGGUGGAACAACAAACCAAAAGCUCUACCCUCCCCUCUAUCUAUCCAAAGGAUGGAAGGGUAGAGGCCUUUAGUGUCCAUUCUAGUCAAGAAUUUGGGCCUCACAAUCACUAGCUAAUAUGCUUUUCUCUCAUGCCUUUCUUCAUUCAUGGUUUGAUAUUUUGGUGUCCUAGGCGUAGAGGAACCACACCAAUCCAUCCCAAAAUUGGUGGUUAAACUCUACUGUAGGGGAGGUCUUGUGGAAAAAUAGCUCAACGCUAGAAUGAUAAAAACUUAAUACCUUUCAUUCUUAUUACUUUUUCAAUAUGAAAAAAAAAAAAUUGAAAAUGAAAAAGGUCGUCUUAUUCAAAACCCCAAUCCAAUUAUGAAAUCCAUUCUCUCUCCACUUUACACCUCGAAACACACCAUUCUUAUAUAGAGAGAGGCGCUUUCACAUCUUCCUAACCGCAAAUGGCUAGGGAGAGGAAAAGUUUUUUUUUUUUUGGGGGGUACUCAUGGGAAUAGAUCCAAUGGAGACGGGGUGGGGCAUAUAGCUCAGAGGAUUAGAGAACAUGGCUAUGAACCACGGUGUUGGGGGUUCGAAUCCCUCUUAACCCA